Leopardus geoffroyi (Geoffroy's cat) is the source of this 846-nucleotide long non-coding RNA. RefSeq lists it as uncharacterized. Lineage: Eukaryota; Metazoa; Chordata; Mammalia; Carnivora; Felidae. The record is from RefSeq and is a predicted model, not a curated record. The transcript is spliced from 3 exons.
AUCCGACCCUCUAUGUAACCCUCCCAAAUAAUAAGCCCCUGCCAGGUUUUGAGCUAAGAGAUGAUCGGCAGUUCUCGCCAUCAAGUUUAAGUGCAGAAGAUGUGCAAACAGCAGACACUGUUCCACGGUCACCUUUCCACGCGCCCACGUGGGCUCGUUUCCACUUUUGGCGUCUUGGCAUUUACACAGGCAGGCAUCGUUCAAAGCCCUGGGCUCCUGGACCGUAGGACACGAUGACAGUAGUCUUUGAGAGUGUCCUUGUUUUGUAGGAUGUCACGAUAUACAUCCGCUGCCCCAGACCUGGAAUCAGCCAUUUCUCUAAGGAACCUCAGUUCCCUUUACUGAGAAAUAUAUUUAGAAACCAGAAUCUGGCCUCAAAGGAAACAGCUCACUUCUUCAGGGCUGGUUGCUAUUUCUAGUUCCCUUCCGUGGACAGAGAUGAGAGAAAGAACACCAGGAGAGGAACAGAUCUUGGAAGGUUCCCCUAGGCGCAGGGAUACUGGCAGGCUGAGUGCCCGCCUCACAGGUGCCCACCGGGCUGUCCCCUGGCACCACAUGAGGACCAUGCCAGCUGCUGACUUCCUCCCUCCAGCCAGCCACCUGAAUGAUGCCAGGGAUGUUCCCCUCCUGUAGACCUGCUGCCCCAGCCACGGGGAUGGGCACCCGAGGGCUCUGCAAUCUUCAUGCCAGGACUUGGCAGGUUGAACGGAGAAGAUAGAAUCCAGAUGUAUUCAAUGAAGCCAGUCAUUCAAGAGGUUUUUAAAAACGUAAAGCAAUACUACUCUUUUCACUAAUCUCUGCAGUGGAAAAAACAGUUAUUUUUUCAUAAAAAGUAUCUUGCUCUUA